This 467-nucleotide long non-coding RNA is filed under the name Mytilus galloprovincialis (Mediterranean mussel). The record is from RNAcentral. Lineage: Eukaryota; Metazoa; Mollusca; Bivalvia; Mytilida; Mytilidae.
CAAAGGGAGAUAAUUGGAGCUUUUUCAAUGAUAUAAACAUUUUAAAAGUCAUCUGGGGCCAAACCGAAUUAAUUUUUUUGGUUAAUUUUUGUAUCAUAUCAUAAAGUAAUAGCUAAUAGUGUAAUAAAUAAAAUUUGUUAUGAAAAAACAAAUGUUUUAUUUUUUGCUGAAAGUUUUGUACCCUCGAGCCUCCUUAAGCGGAAUUACAACUAGAUAGGUUUUGGAAAUGUGAAGAUGAUAUUUUAAAUGGUGCAUUAUUUUCUGAAAUCACAAUUAAUUACCUCUCAAUUUUGUUUAUUAAUCCCACUAGGUACAUUUAUGUUUUAUGGAACAGAAUUUACUAAAAAAAAAAUACUAUAUUGAUAAAUUCAUGAAUUUAAACUGUGAAAAGGAUUUCCAUUAUUUAGCAAUUGUUAUAUUUUUCUGUUUGUUAAAUAUGUUUCUUUAUAUUUUAUAAGGUAUAUUGU